CGCUAUCACUCCUACGGGAGGCAGCAGUGGGGAAUAUUGCACAAUGGGCGCAAGCCUGAUGCAGCCAUGCCGCGUGUGUGAAGAAGGCCUUCGGGUUGUAAAGCACUUUCAGUCGUGAGGAAGGUAGUGUAGUUAAUAGCUGCAUUAUUUGACGUUAGCGACAGAAGAAGCACCGGCUAACUCCGUGCCAGCAGCCGCGGUAAUACGGAGGGUGCGAGCGUUAAUCGGAAUUACUGGGCGUAAAGCGCAUGCAGGUGGUUUGUUAAGUCAGAUGUGAAAGCCCGGGGCUCAACCUCGGAAUUGCAUUUGAAACUGGCGGACUAGAGUACUGUAGAGGGGGUAGAAUUUCAGGUGUAGCGGUGAAAUGCGUAGAGAUCUGAAGGAAUACCAGUGGCGAAGGCGGCCCCCUGGACAAAGACUGACGCUCAGAUGCGAAAGCGUGGGGAGCAAACAGGAUUAGAUACCCUGGUAG
RNAcentral lists this ribosomal RNA (472 nucleotides) under uncultured bacterium. RNAcentral's name for it is "bacterial SSU rRNA". It matches the Rfam family "Bacterial small subunit ribosomal RNA", at positions 328 to 793 of the family's 1533-position model. The record is from RNAcentral.